This 23-nucleotide non-coding RNA is filed under the name Gossypium hirsutum (cotton). Lineage: Eukaryota; Viridiplantae; Streptophyta; Magnoliopsida; Malvales; Malvaceae. The record is from RNAcentral.
CAUGCCCCAUGAGAUUAGGAUCG